CAAUGAAGGAGGACAAGUCUAAGGUUGCUCCCAAACUUACAACAAGCAUUUGGAACUAUAUUCUGUAUUUUCUACCUGACAUUAUCCCUCCUGCUGCAUGGAACAAUGUAUGACUGACACCUUAAAUCUGGAUUGCCCACUCAUGAGGCGGACUAUAGAAGCAGACUUGAAUGGUGAAAUCCUCUGGGGUGGCACCACCGUGUGUGCCCACCCACCUCGGUGACGGUGUCUUCCAGCGAGGACUCAUGAGUGCUGCUUCAUGACCCUGCUGGACAACAGGAAGAAAUGAAUGCAUUGCAGCUUCUCUGACAUUGCAGCAUCCGAGUCCUUGAAGAAGAAGCACCAGUUGAGUUUCUGCCUGUCACACACAAGCCCUGGCCUGGGUGGGUAGUAACAGCUUGGUGCAACAGCCUGCAGCUUCAGUUCCAGGCAGCUGGGGAAUAGACACUCUCACUCUUUCUCAUCAUCCCAUCGCUUGUACUUAAACAUCUUUAUUAAUGGCUUGAAGGAGGUGAGUAAACAGCACGUGAUGUUCUCAGCACCAGGUAAAGACCAAUAUAUUUUACUUCCAGCUGUCUAUCGGCUACAUAUUAUAGAUGGAAGUUGCAGACCAAGGGAAUCUGUAAAUCACCCAGGAGAGGCAGUUUCAGGAGGAGAUGAUCACACCAGGGGCAGAUUUUGGCAAUAUGGCACCCUGAGCAAGGGUAAAAAUCCCACCCAAAAAUUAUUUUCACAAUAAUUCCUUUUGGUACAGCUGCUUUUUUAUGGAUCUUCUCUGCAGGUACCCAUAUAAAUAUAGGUAUUGUUGUUAUUACUAAUACU
Non-coding RNA from Zootoca vivipara (common lizard), 822 nucleotides. The record is from RefSeq and is a predicted model, not a curated record. NCBI's taxonomy places the organism in Eukaryota, Metazoa, Chordata, Lepidosauria, Squamata, Lacertidae.